Long non-coding RNA from Cydia splendana, 217 nucleotides. RefSeq lists it as uncharacterized. The transcript has 2 exons. Lineage: Eukaryota; Metazoa; Arthropoda; Insecta; Lepidoptera; Tortricidae. The record is from RefSeq and is a predicted model, not a curated record.
CUAUAGGUAGGACCUUGGGCCUUAGGAGGAAAUAAAAGCGCUGGUAGACUCAGACAUGUAAAAUUGGUUUGUAUUAGUUUUAAGUUGAAAUGUUAUAAAAGAUGACCUUCUGCAGAGUUUCUUGCGGCGUUUCUUCUCUUAGCAAUGGGUCCUUUCCGAAGCGCUGGUAGAUUUAAAACGACAUGUAAAAUUAUGAAUAAAUAAAGAAUGAAACUAA